This 752-nucleotide ribosomal RNA is filed under the name uncultured bacterium. RNAcentral describes it as "bacterial SSU rRNA". It matches the Rfam family "Bacterial small subunit ribosomal RNA", at positions 62 to 847 of the family's 1533-position model. The record is from RNAcentral.
UCGAACGAGAAAGUGGAGCAUCCAUGAGUAAAGUGGCGUACGGGUGGGUAACACGUGGAUCAUCUACCUCUUAGUGGGGAAUAACCCUGGGAAACCGGGGAUAAUACCGCAUAAGUCCUUUGGGAGAAAGCAGCAAUGCGCUGAGAGAGGAGUCCGCGGCCGAUUAGCUAGUUGGCAGGGUAAGAGCCUACCAAGGCAACGAUCGGUAGCCGGCCUGAGAGGGCACGCGGCCACACUGGCACUGAAACACGGGCCAGACUCCUACGGGAGGCAGCAGUGGGGAAUCUUGCACAAUGGGGGAAACCCUGAUGCAGCGACGCCGCGUGAGCGAUGAAGCCCUUCGGGGUGUAAAGCUCUUUCGGCAGGGAAGAUAAUGACGGUACCUGCAGAAGCAGCUGCGGCUAACUACGUGCCAGCAGCCGCGGUAAUACGUAGGCAGCAAGCGUUGUUCGGAGUUACUGGGCGUAAAGGGUGUGUAGGCGGUUGUUUAAGUUUGGUGUGAAAUCUCCCGGCUCAACUGGGAGGGUGCGCCGAAUACUGAAUGACUUCGAGUGCGGGAGAGGAAAGUGGAAUUCCUGGUGUAGCGGUGAAAUGCGUAGAUAUCAGGAGGAACACCGGUGGUGUAGACGGCUUUCUGGACCGUAACUGACGCUGAAACACGAAAGCGUGGGUAGCAAACAGGAUUAGAUACCCUGGUAGUCCACGCCCUAAACGAUGCAUAUUUGGUGUGGGCAGUUCAUUCUGUCCGUGCC